CGGGUUGUUAAAGCACUUUCAGUCGUGAGGAAGGUAGUGUAGUUAAUAGCUGCAUUAUUUGACGUUUAGCGACAGAAGAAGCACCGGCUAACUCCGUGCCAGCAGCCGCGGUAAUACGGAGGGUGCGAGCGUUAAUCGGAAUUACUGGGCGUAAAGCGCAUGCAGGUGGUUUGUUAAGUUCAGAUGUGAAAGACCCGGGGCGUCAACCUCGGAAUAGCAUUUGAAACUGGCAGACUAGAGUACUGUAGAGGGGGGUAGGAAUUUCAGGUGUAGCGGUGAAAUGCGUAGAGAUCUGAAGGAAUACCGGUGGCGAAGGCGGCCCCCUGGACAGAUACUGACACUCAGAUGCGAAAGCGUGGGGAGCAAACAGGAUUAGAUACCCUGGUAG
RNAcentral lists this ribosomal RNA (388 nucleotides) under uncultured bacterium. RNAcentral describes it as "bacterial SSU rRNA". It matches the Rfam family "Bacterial small subunit ribosomal RNA", at positions 419 to 793 of the family's 1533-position model. The record is from RNAcentral.